This 1439-nucleotide ribosomal RNA is filed under the name Lactiplantibacillus plantarum. Its description in RNAcentral is "bacterial SSU rRNA". It matches the Rfam family "Bacterial small subunit ribosomal RNA". The record is from RNAcentral. Lineage: Bacteria; Bacillati; Bacillota; Bacilli; Lactobacillales; Lactobacillaceae.
UGCAAGUCGAACGAACUCUGGUAUUGAUUGGUGCUUGCAUCAUGAUUUACAUUUGAGUGAGUGGCGAACUGGUGAGUAACACGUGGGAAACCUGCCCAGAAGCGGGGGAUAACACCUGGAAACAGAUGCUAAUACCGCAUAACAACUUGGACCGCAUGGUCCGAGUUUGAAAGAUGGCUUCGGCUAUCACUUUUGGAUGGUCCCGCGGCGUAUUAGCUAGAUGGUGGGGUAACGGCUCACCAUGGCAAUGAUACGUAGCCGACCUGAGAGGGUAAUCGGCCACAUUGGGACUGAGACACGGCCCAAACUCCUACGGGAGGCAGCAGUAGGGAAUCUUCCACAAUGGACGAAAGUCUGAUGGAGCAACGCCGCGUGAGUGAAGAAGGGUUUCGGCUCGUAAAACUCUGUUGUUAAAGAAGAACAUAUCUGAGAGUAACUGUUCAGGUAUUGACGGUAUUUAACCAGAAAGCCACGGCUAACUACGUGCCAGCAGCCGCGGUAAUACGUAGGUGGCAAGCGUUGUCCGGAUUUAUUGGGCGUAAAGCGAGCGCAGGCGGUUUUUUAAGUCUGAUGUGAAAGCCUUCGGCUCAACCGAAGAAGUGCAUCGGAAACUGGGAAACUUGAGUGCAGAAGAGGACAGUGGAACUCCAUGUGUAGCGGUGAAAUGCGUAGAUAUAUGGAAGAACACCAGUGGCGAAGGCGGCUGUCUGGUCUGUAACUGACGCUGAGGCUCGAAAGUAUGGGUAGCAAACAGGAUUAGAUACCCUGGUAGUCCAUACCGUAACGAUGAAUGCUAAGUGUUGGAGGGUUUCCGCCCUUCAGUGCUGCAGCUAACGCAUUAAGCAUUCCGCCUGGGGGAGUACGGCCGCAAGGCUGAAACUCAAAGGAAUUGACGGGGGCCCGCACAAGCGGUGGGAGCAUGUGGUUUAAUUCGAAGCUACGCGAAGAACCUUACCAGGUCUUGACAUACUAUGCAAAUCUAAGAGAUUAGACGUUCCCUUCGGGGACAUGGAUACAGGUGGUGCAUGGUUGUCGUCAGCUCGUGUCGUGAGAUGUUGGGUUAAGUCCCGCAACGAGCGCAACCCUUAUUAUCAGUUGCCAGCAUUAAGUUGGGCACUCUGGUGAGACUGCCGGUGACAAACCGGAGGAAGGUGGGGAUGACGUCAAAUCAUCAUGCCCCUUAUGAACCUGGGCUACACACGUGCUACAAUGGAUGGUACAACGAGUUGCGAACUCGCGAGAGUAAGCUAAUCUCUUAAAGCCAUUCUCAGUUCGGAUUGUAGGCUGCAACUCGCCUACAUGAAGUCGGAAUCGCUAGUAAUCGCGGAUCAGCAUGCCGCGGUGAAUACGUUCCCGGGCCUUGUACACACCGCCCGUCACACCAUGAGAGUUUGUAACACCCAAAGUCGGUGGGGUAACCUUUUAGGAACCAGCCGCCU